ACGCUGGCGGCGUGCUUAACACAUGCAAGUCGAACGAUGAAGCUAGAGCUUGCUCUGGUGAAUUAGUGGCGAACGGGUGAGUAACACGUGAGUAACCUGCCCCGAACUCUGGGAUAACUGCUGGAAACGGUAGCUAAUACUGGAUACGACCUACGAAGGCAUCUUCUGUAGGUGGAAAGAAUUUCGGUUCGGGAUGGACUCGCGGCCUAUCAGCUUGUUGGUGAGGUAAUGGCUCACCCAAGGCGACGACGGGUAGCCGGCCUGAGAGGGUGACCGGCCACACUGGGACUGAGACACGGCCCAGACUCCUACGGGAGGCAGCAGUGGGGAAUAUUGCACAAUGGGCGCAAGCCUGAUGCAGCAACGCCGCGUGAGGGAUGACGGCCUUCGGGUUGUAAACCUCUUUUAGUAGGGAAGAAGCGAAAGUGACGGUACCUGCAGAAAAAGCACCGGCUAACUACGUG
RNAcentral lists this ribosomal RNA (464 nucleotides) under uncultured bacterium. Its description in RNAcentral is "bacterial SSU rRNA". It matches the Rfam family "Bacterial small subunit ribosomal RNA", at positions 33 to 507 of the family's 1533-position model. The record is from RNAcentral.